AAAUCUUGACAUCCUUUGAUCGCUCUAGAGAUAGAGUUUUCCCCUUCGGGGGACAAAGUGACAGGUGGUGCAUGGUUGUCGUCAGCUCGUGUCGUGAGAUGUUGGGUUAAGUCCCGCAACGAGCGCAACCCUUAAGCUUAGUUGCCAUCAUUAAGUUGGGCACUCUAGGUUGACUGCCGGUGACAAACCGGAGGAAGGUGGGGAUGACGUCAAAUCAUCAUGCCCCUUAUGAUUUGGGCUACACACGUGCUACAAUGGAUAAUACAAAGGGCAGCGAACCCGCGAGGUCAAGCAAAUCCCAUAAAAUUAUUCUCAGUUCGGAUUGUAGUCUGCAACUCGACUACAUGAAGCUGGAAUCGCUAGUAAUCGUAGAUCAGCAUGCUACGGUGAAUACGUUCCCGGGUC
RNAcentral lists this ribosomal RNA (405 nucleotides) under uncultured bacterium. Its description in RNAcentral is "bacterial SSU rRNA". It matches the Rfam family "Bacterial small subunit ribosomal RNA", at positions 976 to 1380 of the family's 1533-position model. The record is from RNAcentral.